CCUACGGGCGGCAGCAGUGAGGAAUAUUGGUCAAUGGACGAGAGUCUGAACCAGCCAAGUAGCGUGAAGGAUGACUGCCCUAUGGGUUGUAAACUUCUUUUAUAUGGGAAUAAAACGUUCCACGUGUGGGAUUUUGUAUGUACCAUAUGAAUAAGGAUCGGCUAACUCCGUGCCAGCAGCCGCGGUAAUACGGAGGAUCCGAGCGUUAUCCGGAUUUAUUGGGUUUAAAGGGAGCGUAGGUGGAUUGUUAAGUCAGUUGUGAAAGUUUGCUGCUCAACCGUAAAAUUGCAGUUGAAACUGGCAGUCUUGAGUACAGUAGAGGUGGGCGGAAUUCGUGGUGUAGCGGUGAAAUGCUUAGAUAUCACGAAGAACUCCGAUUGCGAAGGCAGUUCACUGGACUGCAACUGACACUGAGGCUCGAAAGUGUGGGUAUCAAACAGGAUUAGAUACCCGAGUAGUC
This 460-nucleotide ribosomal RNA is filed under the name uncultured bacterium. RNAcentral's name for it is "partial 16S ribosomal RNA". It matches the Rfam family "Bacterial small subunit ribosomal RNA", at positions 338 to 795 of the family's 1533-position model. The record is from RNAcentral.